GGGAGUCGUACGCGGUACCCGUAGGUCUGCCGGGGAGCGCGGGAAGCGAGCUGAUCCCUUCGGGGUGACGCUCGUGGAACGAGCGGCGGACGGGUGAGUAACACGUGGGCAACCUGCCUGUAAGAUCGGGAUAACUCCGGGAAACCGGGGCUAAUACCGGGUAAUACUUUCUUUCGCAUGAAGGAAAGUUGAAAGAUGGCUUCUCGCUAUCACUUACAGAUGGGCCCGCGGCGCAUUAGCUAGUUGGUGAGGUAACGGCUCACCAAGGCGACGAUGCGUAGCCGACCUGAGAGGGUGAUCGGCCACACUGGGACUGAGACACGGCCCAGACUCCUACGGGAGGCAGCAGUAGGGAAUCUUCCGCAAUGGACGAAAGUCUGACGGAGCAACGCCGCGUGAACGAUGAAGGUCUUCGGAUCGUAAAGUUCUGUUGUUAGGGAAGAACAAGUACCGUGCGAAUAGAGCGGUACCUUGACGGUACCUAACGAGGAAGCCCCGGCUAACUACGUGCCAGCAGCCGCGGUAAUACGUAGGGGGCAAGCGUUGUCCGGAAUUAUUGGGCGUAAAGCGCGCGCAGGCGGUUCCUUAAGUCUGAUGUGAAAGCCCACGGCUCAACCGUGGAGGGUCAUUGGAAACUGGGGAACUUGAGGACAGAAGAGAGAGUGGAAUUCCACGUGUAGCGGUGAAAUGCGUAGAU
RNAcentral lists this ribosomal RNA (697 nucleotides) under Halobacillus sp. HPC972. RNAcentral describes it as "bacterial SSU rRNA". It matches the Rfam family "Bacterial small subunit ribosomal RNA", at positions 1 to 695 of the family's 1533-position model. Lineage: Bacteria; Bacillati; Bacillota; Bacilli; Caryophanales; Bacillaceae. The record is from RNAcentral.